This 503-nucleotide ribosomal RNA is filed under the name uncultured bacterium. RNAcentral describes it as "partial 16S ribosomal RNA". It matches the Rfam family "Bacterial small subunit ribosomal RNA", at positions 899 to 1397 of the family's 1533-position model. The record is from RNAcentral.
ACUCAAAUGAAUUGACGGGGACCCGCACAAGCGGUGGAGCAUGUGGAUUAAUUCGAUACUAACCGAAGAACCUUACCCAGGUUUGACAUCGAUCGCAAAGGUCAGAAAAGGCCUCCUCUUCUCAAAAGGAAGACGUGAAGACACUUGUUGCAUGGCUGUCGUCAGCUCGUGCCGUGAGGUGUACGGUUAAGUCCGCCAACGAGCGCAACCCUCGUCCUGUGUUACCAGCAUGAAAGAUGGGGACUCACAGGAGACCGCCGGUGUAAGCCGGAGGAAGGUGGGGAUGACGUCAAGUCAGCAUGGCAGUUACGCCUGGGGCUUCACACAUGCUACAAUGGGCGAAACAAAGGGCAGCGAUACCGUGAGGUGGAGCCAAUCCCAAAAAUACGCCCUCAGUUCAGAUUGUAGUCUGCAACUCGACUACAUGAAGUCGGAAUCGCUAGUAAACGCAGGUCAGCUAUACUGCGUUGAAUACGUUCCCGGGUCUUGUACACACCGCCCGU